CGUGCCUAACACAUGCAAGUCGAGCGGAGAGGGCGAGGGGGUUACUCUGAGCCUCUUAGCGGCGGACGGGUGAGUAACGCGUGGGUAACCUACCCUAAAGCUCGGGAUAACAGUGGGAAACCGCUGCUAAUACCGGAUGACUUUAACCUAUGGCAUCAUGGGUUAAAGAAAGAUUUAUCGCUUUAGGAUGGGCCCGCGUCCCAUUAGCUAGUUGGUGAGGUAACGGCUCACCAAGGCGACGAUGGGUAGCCGGCCUGAGAGGGUGUACGGCCACACUGGGACUGAGACACGGCCCAGACUCCUACGGGAGGCAGCAGUAGGGAAUAUUGCGCAAUGGACGGAAGUCUGACGCAGCGACGCCGCGUGAGCGAUGAAGGCCUUCGGGUCGUAAAGCUCUGUUGUGAGGGACGAAGGAGCGCCGUUUGAAUAAGGCGGNGCGGUGACGGUACCUCACGAGAAAGCCCCGGCUAACUACGUGCCAGCAGCCGCGGUAAUACGUAGGG
This 503-nucleotide ribosomal RNA is filed under the name uncultured eubacterium WJGRT-133. RNAcentral describes it as "bacterial SSU rRNA". It matches the Rfam family "Bacterial small subunit ribosomal RNA", at positions 43 to 532 of the family's 1533-position model. The record is from RNAcentral.